UACCAUAGGGUGAUUGCAUUAGAAUGCACAAAGAUGUUGCAUUGCAUAGCUUCAUUGUUGGUGUGGGUAAAUGCUGAAUGAUCCAGUAGUUCCAGACAGGAAGACCAGGACCCCAUUCUACGGCCUGGCAGGUAAAGGAAGACCAGGACCCCAUUCUACGGCCUGGCGGGUAUAGACAAGUGGGCUAUACUGGCAAAGGGUAAGUACAGGUGUUAUAUACACAUAUACAUAUAUGGUACAGGAAGUCCAGGACCCCAGUCUACGGCCUGGCACGGAUUACUGGGAUUAUGUGGUGACAGGUUUACUCUUGAUGUGGUUUGUUUGUGUUAUGACGCAUUUCAUGAGAUCAUAUUUUACUGAGAUAUUUUACUGUUCUACUC
RNAcentral lists this long non-coding RNA (380 nucleotides) under Manihot esculenta (cassava). RNAcentral describes it as "long non-coding RNA (MESC_LNC004608)". The record is from RNAcentral. Lineage: Eukaryota; Viridiplantae; Streptophyta; Magnoliopsida; Malpighiales; Euphorbiaceae.